CAAGGUUUUCCGUACAACAAACACAAUGUGCCCACAUUCCAUUAAAUUUGGGUUAGGUUACAUAUUCUUCUGUGUGGUUUACCGAGAGUUUACAUUUCCAUACUAUUUGGCCUUUAGUUUAUUUCUGUGUGGUUGAUAAAUUUAUUUAUGGAAUAUUUAGCUUGAUUUUGGGUAAAGCAUUGCGUACUUUCCUUGCAUCAUGUACCUUUUUAACAGUAGCGAAAUUAUGAAGACCAUAUUUCACUUGGAACUACAUUUAUAAUAUUACUAUUCCACAUACGAUACAUAGUAUGAAAACUCAUACAAUCAGUAUAGAAUAUACUUGUCGUCAUCUUCAGUUCGUCGUUAGGUUAGAAUUGUUUAUGACACACUUACAACUGUUAUCCACUCCUCUUGAUUCAUACCCUUACAUCACAUGUGUUGAAUACAGCUGCACAACGUGAUCCAUAUGUUAUGUGAUUAUUAUGAUGCCACACAAAAACGCCACAUCGUUUACUUUAUAAUAUGAAACCGGUAACCUGUUAUUUGAAGGGGUAUAACCGGAUAGAAGGAAGCACAAAAGUCAGACAAUGAAUUAUGUCAAAAUCAUAGCUACUUCCUUGACUUAUCUCCAAAAUAUGACCAUUUGGCCAAUAAGCCCAA
This 642-nucleotide long non-coding RNA is filed under the name Brassica napus (rape). RNAcentral describes it as "long non-coding RNA (BNAP_LNC007329)". Lineage: Eukaryota; Viridiplantae; Streptophyta; Magnoliopsida; Brassicales; Brassicaceae. The record is from RNAcentral.